RNAcentral lists this ribosomal RNA (484 nucleotides) under uncultured bacterium. RNAcentral describes it as "partial 16S ribosomal RNA". It matches the Rfam family "Bacterial small subunit ribosomal RNA", at positions 30 to 507 of the family's 1533-position model. The record is from RNAcentral.
AUUGAACGCUGGCGGCAGGCCUAACACAUGCCAGUCGAGCGGAUGAAGGGAGCUUGCUCCUGGAUUCAGCGGCGGACGGGUGAGUAAUGCCUAGGAAUCUGCCUGGUAGUGGGGGAUAACGUCCGGAAACGGGCGCUAAUACCGCAUACGUCCUGAGGGAGAAAGUGGGGGAUCUUCGGACCUCACGCUAUCAGAUGAGCCUAGGUCGGAUUAGCUAGUUGGUGGGGUAAAGGCCUACCAAGGCGACGAUCCGUAUCUGGUCUGAGAGGAUGAUCAGUCACUCUGGAACUGAGACACGGUCCAGACUCCUACGGGAGGCAGCAGUGGGGAAUAUUGGACAAUGGGCGAAAGCCUGAUCCAGCCAUGCCGCGUGUGUGAAGAAGGUCUUCGGAUUGUAAAGCACUUUAAGUUGGGAGGAAGGGCAGUAAGUUAAUACCUUGCUGUUUUGACGUUACCAACAGAAUAAGCACCGGCUAACUUCGUG